CUGUGUGUUGUUGGGUAGGGGAGCGUUCUGUAAGCCUGUGAAGGUGGCCUGUGAGGGUUGCUGGAGGUAUCAGAAGUGCGAAUGCUGACAUAAGUAACGAUAAAGCGGGUGAAAAGCCCGCUCGCCGGAAGACCAAGGGUUCCUGUCCAACGUUAAUCGGGGCAGGGUGAGUCGACCCCUAAGGCGAGGCCGAAAGGCGUAGUCGAUGGGAAACAGGUUAAUAUUCCUGUACUUGGUGUUACUGCGAAGGGGGGACGGAGAAGGCUAUGUUGGCCGGGCGACGGUUGUCCCGGUUUAAGCGUGUAGGCUGGUUUUCCAGGCAAAUCCGGAAAAUCAAGGCUGAGGCGUGAUGACGAGGCACUACGGUGCUAAAGCAACAAAUGCCCUGCUUCCAGGAAAAGCCUCUAAGCAUCAGGUAACAUCAAAUCGUACCCCAAACCGACACAGGUGGUCAGGUAGAGAAUACCAAGGCGCUUGAGAGAACUCGGGUGAAGGAACUAGGCAAAAUGGUGCCGUAACUUCGGGAGAAGGCACGCUGACACGUAGGUGAAGUGAUUUACUCAUGGAGCUGAAGUCAGUCGAAGAUACCAGCUGGCUGCAACUGUUUAUUAAAAACACAGCACUGUGCAAACACGAAAGUGGACGUAUACGGUGUGACGCCUGCCCGGUGCCGGAAGGUUAAUUGAUGGGGUCAGCGCAAGCGAAGCUCCUGAUCGAAGCCCCGGUAAACGGCGGCCGUAACUAUAACGGUCCUAAGGUAGCGAAAUUCCUUGUCGGGUAAGUUCCGACCUGCACGAAUGGCGUAAUGAUGGCCAGGCUGUCUCCACCCGAGACUCAGUGAAAUUGAACUCGCUGUGAAGAUGCAGUGUACCCGCGGCAAGACGGAAAGACCCCGUGAACCUUUACUAUAGCUUGACACUGAACAUUGAGCCUUGAUGUGUAGGAUAGGUGGGAGGCUUUGAAGUGUGGACGCCAGUCUGCAUGGAGCCGACCUUGAAAUACCACCCUUUAAUGUUUGAUGUUCUAACGUGGACCCGUAAUCCGGGUUGCGGACAGUGUCUGGUGGGUAGUUUGACUGGGGCGGUCUCCUCCUAAAGAGUAACGGAGGAGCACGAAGGUUGGCUAAUCCUGGUCGGACAUCAGGAGGUUAGUGCAAUGGCAUAAGCCAGCUUGACUGCGAGCGUGACGGCGCGAGCAGGUGCGAAAGCAGGUCAUAGUGAUCCGGUGGUUCUGAAUGGAAGGGCCAUCGCUCAACGGAUAAAAGGUACUCCGGGGAUAACAGGCUGAUACCGCCCAAGAGUUCAUAUCGACGGCGGUGUUUGGCACCUCGAUGUCGGCUCAUCACAUCCUGGGGCUGAAGUAGGUCCCAAGGGUAUGGCUGUUCGCCAUUUAAAGUGGUACGCGAGCUGGGUUUAGAACGUCGUGAGACAGUUCGGUCCCUAUCUGCCGUGGGCGCUGGAGAACUGAGGGGGGCUGCUCCUAGUACGAGAGGACCGGAGUGGACGCAUCACUGGUGUUCGGGUUGUCAUGCCAAUGGCACUGCCCGGUAGCUAAAUGCGGAAGAGAUAAGUGCUGAAAGCAUCUAAGCACGAAACUUGCCCCGAGAUGAGUUCUCCCUGAGACUUAGAGUCUCCUGAAGGAACGUUGAAGACGACGACGUUGAUAGGCCGGGUGUGUAAGCGCAGCGAUGCGUUGAGCUAACCGGUACUAAUGAACCGUGAGGCUUAACCUUACAA
This 1736-nucleotide ribosomal RNA is filed under the name Salmonella enterica subsp. enterica. RNAcentral describes it as "partial 23S ribosomal RNA". It matches the Rfam family "Bacterial large subunit ribosomal RNA", at positions 1214 to 2925 of the family's 2925-position model. The record is from RNAcentral. Lineage: Bacteria; Pseudomonadati; Pseudomonadota; Gammaproteobacteria; Enterobacterales; Enterobacteriaceae.